UACGAAGGGGGCUAGCGUUGCUCGGAAUCACUGGGCGUAAAGGGUGCGUAGGCGGGGCUUUAAGUCAGGGGUGAAAUCCUGGAGCUCAACUCCAGAACUGCCUUUGAUACUGAAGAUCUUGAGUUCGGGAGAGGUGAGUGGAACUGUGAGUGUAGAGGUGAAAUUCGUAGAUAUUCGCAAGAACACCAGUGGCGAAGGCGGCUCACUGGCCCGAUACUGACGCUGAGGCACGAAAGCGUGGGGAGCAAACAGG
Molecule: ribosomal RNA, 253 nt
Filed under: uncultured bacterium
Lineage: Bacteria
Description: partial 16S ribosomal RNA
Rfam family: Bacterial small subunit ribosomal RNA
Source: RNAcentral